UACAGAGGUCCCAAGCGUUGUUCGGAUUCACUGGGCGUAAAGGGUAGGUAGGUGGUCUCAUUUGUCUAGGGUGAAAGCCUUGAGCUUAACUCAAGAAGUGCCCUAGAAACGGUGAGACUGGAGUCUUGGAGAGGGUCGUGGAAUUCCCGGUGUAGUGGUGAAAUGCGUAGAGAUCAGGCGGAACACCCGUGGCGAAGGCGGCCAGCUGGGCCGUCCCUGACGCUGAGGCGCGAAGGCGUGGGGAGCGAACGGG
This 253-nucleotide ribosomal RNA is filed under the name uncultured bacterium. RNAcentral describes it as "partial 16S ribosomal RNA". It matches the Rfam family "Bacterial small subunit ribosomal RNA", at positions 524 to 776 of the family's 1533-position model. The record is from RNAcentral.